This 217-nucleotide ribosomal RNA is filed under the name uncultured bacterium. Its description in RNAcentral is "partial 16S ribosomal RNA". It matches the Rfam family "Bacterial small subunit ribosomal RNA", at positions 524 to 740 of the family's 1533-position model. The record is from RNAcentral.
UACGUAGGGUGCGAGCGUUAAUCGGAAUUACUGGGCGUAAAGCGUGCGCAGGCGGUGAUGUAAGACAGAUGUGAAAUCCCCGGGCUCAACCUGGGAACUGCAUUUGUGACUGCAUCGCUGGAGUGCGGCAGAGGGGGAUGGAAUUCCGCGUGUAGCAGUGAAAUGCGUAGAUAUGCGGAGGAACACCGAUGGCGAAGGCAAUCCCCUGGGCCUGCAC